AGAUCAUUCAGAAAAUUAAAGACAUACCACUCCGCAUAAACAAUAUCACCGAUAAGCAAAUCAAGGACAUCAAUUCAGCUCCAGCAAUUGAUGGAUGAGUCGUGUGACGUGACCGAUAUCGAACAGACAGCUCUGCUAUGCAGGUCUUUUGCGAGAGGCAAGUUAGCUGGUUCAGUCCUUUCAACAUAAAAUGUGAUUCCAGCUGCUAAGCCUUGGGCGGCGUACGCUGUGCUACGGCGCUGAUCAAAGACGGAACAUGGCUUCCAUUCAAAAAAGGCUGUCAUGACAUGACUGUGAACCUUUGAGAUGAGCGCGAGUUGUUCAGCGUUGCAAAACAUGCCCGCUCAACUGUGAGGUGACAUCCGAGAAAAUGAGGCUGCGAUGCCGUGACGCCUCAUCCCACCAGAGACACCUUUAUGCACCACUGACUUAUAAUGCUGAUGAGAUGUGAGACAAGUCUGAAGAGAGGAGCAACCGAUUACUUCCAGGCUCCACGGACGUUAAGUAUAGCAUGCACGUUGGCUUCAUUGAAGGUUUUGAAUCAUAGAUGUCAAACUCGAGGCCCGAUGGCCAGAUUUGGAUCCAAUGCUGGGUUAAUUAUUUGAGUUACUUUUAAGUGAAGUCAGUUGUCAUGAACGGAUAUCAUGUUGAAUCUUUUUCCUCAUUUACUGACAUCCAUUGUUGUGGCAUUUGCAGAUAAUCUAUACAGGGAGUUGUUAGUAUUGAUUGCGAUAUAGAAUAAUUUUACAAAUGAGGCAGCUUGUGUCAGCGCGCAGAUCAACACGUGCACAUGCGAUGCAAAAUGACGCCCUCAGGGCAGCCUUUGCCUGUUCCCCACACACUUAAGUCUUCCUGGGUUUAGGAAAUCGACCCCGGCUUAUUUUCACUGGCCGUCCGGGCUGGUUAACAAACAAGCAAGAAUAAAACGGCAGCUGCUGAAAUUGUAUGUAACUUUUUGAGUUGGAUCGCUCUAAUAGUGUGACCUUUAUUGAUUUCUUGUCUACGCCUUGGGCCCGGCAAAGCACUAAUGACAUUGGUCAAUAAAAACCAUGACGUGGAAGUUCUUUCCCCCCAGCGCCUACUGACCACUUCCCUAAAAAUAGUCGGAGACGGCGAGAGCAUUGACAGCUCCGGGGCUCUUGUUCAACUGGAGGGCCUCGGCUCGCUUUCGACACAGGUAAAACGGGCCAACAUGCUGGGCUGUCCGCUUUAGAGUAUUUCACUUUCAACCGGGCCCAGCCAGCUCCCAUUCAGAAAAGAGGCUUGACACAUCCGAGCGAGUAGCUUGCCUCCUUUAAUCAAUACAUUCGGAACGCGGCGGGGCGGACACCAAAUAAAGCCAGCAAAUCGUUUGGCCUCUGCGUCUGGCGUGGCGCUCUCUGGGAAUGUGCUGCUUAAAGGAAUUCCUAUUUAAAGGAAAGACAUUUACAAUUGAACGGCACCCCCGCCACUUCUCAACCAAGACCACCACUUGCGUAUCGACUCUACUGUCAAUGUGCGCCUGCUGACGUCUUUCUACAGUUGGUUCAAUGGAGCAGAAAAGCGAACUACAUUCGUCGAACCGGACCGAGAUGUUACGAUUUCUCGGACAACUUUGGCAUACUAGUAGGGAAACUUUAUGUGACUAGAGAAGAAAAACUGUGCUCUAUCUAUCUAUCUAUCUAUCUAUCUAUCUAUCUAUCUAUCUAUC
Molecule: long non-coding RNA, 1690 nt
Organism: Syngnathus acus (greater pipefish)
Lineage: Eukaryota; Metazoa; Chordata; Actinopteri; Syngnathiformes; Syngnathidae
Exons: 4
Source: RefSeq, a predicted model, not a curated record